This 686-nucleotide long non-coding RNA is filed under the name Homo sapiens (human). RNAcentral describes it as "HSALNT0341524". Lineage: Eukaryota; Metazoa; Chordata; Mammalia; Primates; Hominidae. The record is from RNAcentral.
UUUCCCUCCCUCCCUCCCUUUCUUCCUUCCUUUCUUCCUUCCUUCCUUUCUUGAUGGAGUCUCACUCUGUUGCCCAGGCUGGAGUGUAGUGGUGCAAUCUUGGCUCACUGCAACCUCUGCCUUCUGGGUUCAAGCAAUUCUCCUGCCUCAGCCUCCCAAGUAGCUGGGACUACAGGCAUGUGCCACCACGCCCAGCUAAUUUUUUUUGUAUUUUUAGUAGGGAUGGGGUUUUGCCACGCUGGCCAGGCUGGUCUCAAACUCUUGACCUCAGGUGAUCUGCCUGCCUCGGCCUCCCAAAGUGCUGGGAUUACAGGCAUGAGCCACCACGCCUGGUCUAUGGACGUGCUUUCUAACCCUGAAUGUGUAAUGGGGAGUUGUGGCUUCAGAUUUGCAUUUUACCAAGAUGGCUCCAGAAGGCGGCAGGGAGAGCCAGCUGGGUGAACCGCAAGUUCCGAGGCUGUUGCAGUUACUUGGCAAGAGCUGGAGUGUCAAGAGUCAGGGGCUGCUGAGGAGGGGGUGACCUUGGUGCUGAUGGGGUGUGGGGGCUGUUGAGGACCAGAUGGCAACUUCCCUUCCUUGGAGUUUUCUUCCUACCUCAUCUUCUUCACCGCCUCCUCCUUGCUCUUCUCCUACCUCUAAGCUUAGGAGAGGCCCCCGGCUCUGUCCUGGGUCUUCUUCCUUCUCUG